Molecule: ribosomal RNA, 269 nt
Filed under: uncultured prokaryote
Description: partial 16S ribosomal RNA
Rfam family: Bacterial small subunit ribosomal RNA
Source: RNAcentral
CACGUAGGAGGCGAACGUUAUCCGGAUUUAUUGGGCGUAAAGCGCGUGUAGGUGGUUCUGUAAGUAGGGCGUGAAAGCUCCCGGCUCAACUGGGAGAGGUCGUUCUAUACUGCAGAGCUAGAGGAUGGUAGAGGGAGGUGGAAUUCCAGGUGUAGCGGUGGAAUGCGCAGAUAUCUGGAGGAACACCAGUGGCGAAGGCGGCCUCCUGGACCAUUCCUGACACUCAGACGCGAAAGCUAGGGUAGCAAACGGGAUUAGAUACCCGCGUA